This 837-nucleotide ribosomal RNA is filed under the name uncultured organism. RNAcentral describes it as "bacterial SSU rRNA". It matches the Rfam family "Bacterial small subunit ribosomal RNA", at positions 8 to 823 of the family's 1533-position model. The record is from RNAcentral.
AGAGUUUGAUCCUGGCUCAGAACGAACGCUGGCGGCGUGCUUAACACAUGCAAGUCGGAUGCGAACGGCGCUUUCGGGCGUUGAGUAGCAUGGCAGACGGGUGAGGAGCGCGUAUCUGACUGGACUCAGGCUGGGGGAUAGUCCCUCGAAAGGGGGUUGAAUGCCGCAUGUGCUCGGUGCUGUGAGGGCAUCGAGGAAAGUUGGCCUCUGUGGGCACGCUGAUGGCCUGAGACAGGGAUGCGUCCUAUUAGCUAACUGGUGGGGUAAGGGCCUACCAGGGCGACGAUGGGUAGCUGGUCUGAGAGGAUGAUCAGCCACACUGGGACUGCGACACGGCCCAGACUCCUACGGGAGGCAGCAGUGGGGAAUUUUGCGCAAUGGGCGCAAGCCUGACGCAGCAACGCCGCGUGCAUGACGACGCCUUUCGAGGUGUAAAGUGCUGUCGACCGGGACGAAGGGGCGAGGGUGAACAGCUUUCGCGCAUGACGGUACCGGUGGAGGAAGCCCCGGCUAACUCCGUGCCAGCAGCCGCGGUAAGACGGAGGGGGCGAGCGUUGUUCGGAAUUACUGGGCGUAAAGCGCGCGUAGGCGGUGCAGCAAGUGGUGCGUGAAAGCCCUCGGCUUAACCGGGGACGGGCGUGCCAAACUGUUGGACUGGAGUGCCGGAGGGGGAGGCGGAAUUCCUGGUGGAGCGGUGAAAUGCGUAGAGAUCAGGAAGAACGUCGGUGGCGAAGGCGGCCUCCUGGACGGACACUGACGCUGAGGUGCGACAGCGUGGGGAGCGAACGGGAUUAGAUACCCCGGUAGUCCACGCCGUAAACGAUGGGUACUAGGUGU